UUUUUGAUGUGUUAGCAGAAAUUCUAAUUAAAAAGCUGGUUUACAAGUGGGAAGGUGUAACCAGCCAGCGAAGCGCUGAAGCCUGGCCAGGGUGGGCAUCACUUUGCUCGCGCCCAGGGCCAUUUGGCCACUCUCUCUGCAGUGAAACUGCUGUGUUAUUUCUUAAAAAAACCCAUCCCUGGCACCGUGCCUCCUGGGAGCAGGAGCUGGGCAGCCCUGCCUCCUCCAGAUAAAGCAAUGGCUUUCCUUGUGCUGCGGGGAGGAGGGGGGAUGGCUGCCUUAUCUUCCUUCCUCCAGCACCAUGUGGGAAUGCGUCAUCUUCUUUUUUUUUUAUUUGCUAAAUAUAAAAUAAGGCCGGUUUUUAGCAUGUGGGAGCUGGCAAGUUUCCCAGAGCACGUCCUGGGCAGGAGUGGCUGGCAGGAGUGGCUGGCAUCCGUGGGUGCUCCCUGCCUGCUCGUCCACCCCAACCAGCCAGGUAGCCCUGGGACCUCCUGGCCCUGCCACCUGGGAGGUGAUGAUGCAGCUCCAGGAUUGGGCUGUCCUGUAAAACUUUUCAGAGCAGAAACUGCAAAGAAGGAAGCCCAGCCCAAGGUCUGUCCCCGCUGCCUGUCACCGCCAGAGCUUCUCCU
Molecule: long non-coding RNA, 629 nt
Filed under: Calidris pugnax (ruff)
Lineage: Eukaryota; Metazoa; Chordata; Aves; Charadriiformes; Scolopacidae
Description: lncRNA (ENSCPUG00000017727.1)
Source: RNAcentral